RNAcentral lists this ribosomal RNA (253 nucleotides) under uncultured bacterium. Its description in RNAcentral is "partial 16S ribosomal RNA". It matches the Rfam family "Bacterial small subunit ribosomal RNA", at positions 524 to 776 of the family's 1533-position model. The record is from RNAcentral.
UACGGAGGGAGCUAGCGUUGUUCGGAAUUACUGGGCGUAAAGCGCACGUAGGCGGCUUUGUAAGUUAGGGGUGAAAGCCCGGAGCUCAACUCCGGAAUUGCCUUUAAGACUGCAUCGCUUGAAUCCGGGAGAGGUGAGUGGAAUUCCGAGUGUAGAGGUGAAAUUCGUAGAUAUUCGGAAGAACACCAGUGGCGAAGGCGACUCACUGGACACGUAUUGACGCUGAGGUGCGAAAGCGUGGGGAGCAAACAGG